UACGAAGGGGGCUAGCGUUGCUCGGAAUUACUGGGCGUAAAGCGCACGUAGGCGGGUUCUUAAGUCGGUGGUGAAAUCCUGGAGCUCAACUCCAGAACUGCCAUUGAAACUGUUAGACUUGAGUACGAGAGAGGUGAGUGGAAUUCCCAGUGUAGAGGUGAAAUUCGUAGAUAUCGGGAGGAACACCAGUGGCGAAGGCGGCGACCUGGACAGAUAUUGACGCUGAGGUGCGAAAGCGUGGGGAGCAAACAGG
Molecule: ribosomal RNA, 253 nt
Filed under: uncultured bacterium
Lineage: Bacteria
Description: partial 16S ribosomal RNA
Rfam family: Bacterial small subunit ribosomal RNA
Source: RNAcentral